CUACGGGGCGCAGCAGUGGGGAAUAUUGCACAAUGGACGAAAGUCUGAUGCAGCAACGCCGCGUGGAGGAUGACACAUUUCGGUGCGUAAACUCCUUUUAUAUAGGAAGAUAAUGACGGUACUAUAUGAAUAAGCACCGGCUAACUCCGUGCCAGCAGCCGCGGUAAUACGGAGGGUGCAAGCGUUACUCGGAAUCACUGGGCGUAAAGAGCGUGUAGGCGGGUUAAUAAGUUGGAAGUGAAAUCCUAUGGCUCAACCAUAGAACUGCUUCCAAAACUGUUAACCUAGAAUAUGGGAGAGGUAGAUGGAAUUUCUGGUGUAGGGGUAAAAUCCGUAGAGAUCAGAAGGAAUACCGAUUGCGAAGGCGAUCUACUGGAACAUUAUUGACGCUGAGACGCGAAAGCGUGGGGAGCAAACAGGAUUAGAUACCCUUGUAGUC
Molecule: ribosomal RNA, 439 nt
Filed under: uncultured bacterium
Lineage: Bacteria
Description: partial 16S ribosomal RNA
Rfam family: Bacterial small subunit ribosomal RNA
Source: RNAcentral